This 256-nucleotide ribosomal RNA is filed under the name uncultured bacterium. RNAcentral's name for it is "partial 16S ribosomal RNA". It matches the Rfam family "Bacterial small subunit ribosomal RNA", at positions 521 to 776 of the family's 1533-position model. The record is from RNAcentral.
UAAUACGUAGGUGGCAAGCGUUGUCCGGAUUUACUGGGCGUAAAGAGCGCGCAGGCGGUCGUUCAAGUCGCGUGUGAAAGCCCCCGGCUCAACUGGGGAGGGUCACGCGAUACUGAUCGACUCGAAGGCAGGAGAGGGUAGUGGAAUUCCCGGUGUAGUGGUGAAAUGCGUAGAUAUCGGGAGGAACACCAGUGGCGAAGGCGACUACCUGGCCUGUUCUUGACGCUGAGGCGCGAAAGCUAGGGGAGCAAACGGG